Non-coding RNA from Nelumbo nucifera (sacred lotus), 227 nucleotides. NCBI's taxonomy places the organism in Eukaryota, Viridiplantae, Streptophyta, Magnoliopsida, Proteales, Nelumbonaceae. The record is from RefSeq and is a predicted model, not a curated record.
AAGAAAGAAAAUCAAGGCAAACCGUUGGCCAAAGACAUCAAGAAGGAAACAAUUGUUUCUGGUGUAGUAAAUUGUGGAUAUGUUAAUGGUCCAAAGAGGAGAGCUGUCAUCAAGGCUAGAAAUGCAGCAUUUGAAGCUGCCUGUUCAUAUAAAACAGAGCACCCYCAUUUCACUAUUCCUUGCUGUGAGUCUAGAAAAUAUCAAAUGACUAUUCCGAAGGCUUUUGC